CACGAUUGCUUCUGUUUGGGUACGAGCGCAUCUCUGCGGGAGGCUGUCCUCCUCACCGUGCAGCUCAUGUGUUUGAUCAGAUGGAACACCUGUGCACUUGCAGUUUGCCUAUUAUGAACGAGGCUGUGAGUAACUGAGUAUUCUGUGGGUCUGGCGAUCUACCAUUGGCUGCAAAUAAUUUGUUCUUACGUCUGAGAACCGGAUCUGUGACAAAAAGACGUGGAAUCCUCCCCAGCCCCGCAACUGCUCAGCUGAGUCCAGGCUGCUUGAAGCUCGUAGGAGCGUUCAGUUCAGAAUAAAAUGGUACUCAUAAAGAAAUUAUUCAGAGACUCUUUUAAUAAAGUUUUUCG
This is a long non-coding RNA of Cyprinus carpio (common carp), 350 nucleotides long. RefSeq lists it as uncharacterized. NCBI's taxonomy places the organism in Eukaryota, Metazoa, Chordata, Actinopteri, Cypriniformes, Cyprinidae. The record is from RefSeq and is a predicted model, not a curated record. The transcript is spliced from 3 exons.